CAGACAGUGGAGGAAGAGCGCAGGCUGGAGGAGAGACAGACGCUGGAGGACUGAAGAUGGAGAAGGAUCUAUUGACUCUCUCUGCAUGGAAAUCAGAUGAACACGCAGAGACAAUCCAACUGGAAAAUUAGGCACGACUGCAACUUGAGGACAUUUUGGCUUUCCUUGCUCUCCUUGCGACACAGGCCUUGUGACGCUGCUUCAUCUUCAUCCUCAUGUCAGAAGAUUGUCCAGCAUGCUUAUAGUGAGAAGGUGGGGCGGGGGGGGGUCAGUUUCUGUCUUUGGUUAUCUAGCUGUAUGAGUUUUAAAUACCUGUCAUAAAGCUAGAUAACCGAAAGUAGAGAUGACUUCCAUCAGCUGCGUGUUCACACCUGAGGAGGGGAUUCUCAAGAACGUUAUCACCUAGAAAAGGAUUCCUUAACAGAGCCAUCAUCAAACAAAAACAAGAAGGGAAAAUGAAGGAAAAUGGUUGGUCCGAAAUUGCCGCCUUCUCCAAAACCCUCGCCUGUUUUUACCCAGAAUCCCCCGAUGCCAUCUGUACUGCCAACGGAGACACUCUGCUGUGCCAGGAGACAGACAAAGACCCUCCCAAGAUCUCUGGAGCACGGGGACGUCAGAGGAGCCAUCUUGGGAGAUGUUUCCUCGAGACAUCUAAAAUGGCUGGGCUUGCACUUGAGGAUGGCACAAGAACUCUGAAGACCUCUACACUUGGCUUUGUGGAUCAAACUCAACACCGACAAAUAAAUCAUCACCAGGCUUACAGGACUCUGAGCAUUGAAUCUGAAUAUAACUUUGUGAUUGGACCAUCCUGCUAUAAAUUGUAUUGAACUGAAUUUAAUUUGCAGUCUGUAUAAUUGGAUGCUAAUCGGACCUGUUUAUCUUCUAAAUUACCUUCAGAUGACAUUUGUUGUAAUUUAAAUCAGAAUUUUACUGGUACCCUAAAAUUAGCAACUUGAUAUAUAUAUAUAUACAUAUAUAUAUAUAUAUAUAUAUAUAUAUUUUUUAUUUUUUUUUUUAUCACAUAACCUUUUUUAAGUUAAUACAAUACUGUUACAAUAAAGCAAGUAAUUUCACAAGUUCAGAAGAAAUUCUGAUUGGAAAUGAUUAGAUAUUCGUACCCCACUUAAUAAAAAAUUUUACUUUUAUCAGUCCCUAAUUCCCUUUCCCACCAUUUGUGAGAAUGUAAUGAUAUUUUGAAACAUAUAAAUGUGCAAGAUAAAUUAUCAAAUGUACUGGCAAUAAUAAAAAUGGCAAAACUCA
This is a long non-coding RNA of Girardinichthys multiradiatus, 1260 nucleotides long. RefSeq lists it as uncharacterized. The record is from RefSeq and is a predicted model, not a curated record. NCBI's taxonomy places the organism in Eukaryota, Metazoa, Chordata, Actinopteri, Cyprinodontiformes, Goodeidae. The transcript has 4 exons.